UCGGACGAGAUGCUAGGUUUCGGGCUUGCCUCCUCUUCACUUCCUUCUCUCCCUCGCACGUCUCUCGCGUCGCCGCCGCCGCUCCUCUGAUAAUUGAUGUCGCUCUCUCCGGCCACAGCGGCUACCGCUCCUAUGUUCCUCCCUCCUUCCCACGAGAUCGCCACCGCCCUCACAUUGUGCUUGAGUUAUGGAGGGGCAGCUGCAGUGGACGACAAGGAGAUCCACGGCCAGCCGCCGAUGACCUUUCAUCCUCCUACCGGCGCCGCCUUCGGUGCCUCUUCUCCUCCCUGUCCGAGAUCGCCCUGGAGACGCGCUUCCUCGAUCCGUCGUCAGCAGCCGCAGAGCACCUCCUCUGCCGUUGAAGGCACCACAUGGUGGCGGGACGACCGUGUCAAGAGAGAGGCAGGACAUGGUGGUCCUGGCCAGCGGCGCGCUACCGGCGCUGCUGCAAGAUGGGCUGUGCACAAGAGGGAGCGACGGGGCAAGGUGGUAAUGGCUUUCUCUAGCCACCGUCAGCAGCUGCAGCAGUAGCUCCCCCUCUGCCAUUGAUGGUUCCACACAGGGGGACGAGCUUUUGGGUGCUGCCGUCAUAUGCCACCAUCUACAGUCACAGCUCCAUCGAAUGUGAUGGGGAAGCCCACCUCCCCUUGCUGCUUGUGGGGCACGAAGCUGGAGCGACGACACUGGUGGACCUGCUGCUCCUCCAAUUUUUACUUGGCUGUUCCUGGAUAAUAUAUGCCAUGUGCUAUUCCUUGGUUAAUAGCGGAUCUGCUCAUGUUUAUGACUGUAGAGCAGAUGUGGAAAUCUAGACUCUAGGCAUGUCAUUGGUCCCUGCAAAUGAGGUUUUUUUGUUGCCUUCCUUACUUUGUUGGUACCUUGCUUUUUCCACUGCCAAGGAGGAGACAAGUUUGUCCUCAA
Triticum aestivum (bread wheat) is the source of this 918-nucleotide long non-coding RNA. RefSeq lists it as uncharacterized. Lineage: Eukaryota; Viridiplantae; Streptophyta; Magnoliopsida; Poales; Poaceae. The record is from RefSeq and is a predicted model, not a curated record. The transcript has 2 exons.